GCGUUCAUAGCUCAGUUGGUUAGAGCACCACCUUGAAUGGUGGGGGUCGUUGGUUCGAGUCCAAUUGAACGCACCA
This 76-nucleotide transfer RNA is filed under the name Salmonella enterica. RNAcentral's name for it is "tRNA-OTHER". It matches the Rfam family "tRNA". Rfam says of the family: Transfer RNA (tRNA) molecules are approximately 80 nucleotides in length. RNAcentral also lists the same sequence under 1 other name. The record is from RNAcentral. Lineage: Bacteria; Pseudomonadati; Pseudomonadota; Gammaproteobacteria; Enterobacterales; Enterobacteriaceae.